This is a long non-coding RNA of Callithrix jacchus (white-tufted-ear marmoset), 2755 nucleotides long. RefSeq lists it as uncharacterized. The record is from RefSeq and is a predicted model, not a curated record. NCBI's taxonomy places the organism in Eukaryota, Metazoa, Chordata, Mammalia, Primates, Cebidae.
UUUCCACUUUUUCAAUCUUUAAAUAAAAAAUGGAAAGAUACCCCUGGGCCUUUCCUACUGCGGAUAACGGUAACAAAACAGCAUUAUCCGAUCUAAACUCAGCUGUGCCGCAAACACUAUCCUAAGUGCUGGAAGCGUUUAAAGGUACAAGCAACAUUAGCCUAGAAAUGCCUUCGGUAGCCAGACGUGAAUCAAAAGGCUCCUCAGAUGCCGGCGAAAUGUCUUACACCGGUAAGGGGAGGAGAGAAAGAGAACUGAAUAUAGUUAAGUGGACACUGAUCGGAGAGGAAGCAGCACGGGUUCCAGACACCUAACGGGCAGCCUUGGGGAUGCAGUAAAGGCCAACCCUUUUCUUUCCUUCCCGUCCCUUCAGUGGCCGGACGCCUCACCCAGGAGAGGACACAGGGAACUCAACAACGUCUCGGGAGCAACGGCCCAGCGGAAAAGGAAACGGAGGUCCAGGAAAGGGACGUGAUUUUCCAGACACACCUGUGAAAGGUCAUGAUUUCAUUGAACUGGUCCUAAGUGCCAGGUGCACUAAGAUUGUCUGCUAUCUUCACAAUAACCCCCAAACAGCCAUGUUGAACCAUGAAAGGACCUCAGGAAUGAAAGCCACACACAGCAAAGCAACAAGAUAAAAGAGGCAUGGGUUCCUAAUGCAAGAGGCACUGAACCAAUCAAUACCCACUGCCCUCCAGACCUCUACAUGAAAGAAAAAAAACUGCUGUCCUGUACAGGUUAAUAAAUGUUGGUCAAGCUGGUCUCGAACUCCUGACCUCGUGAUCCGCCUGCGUCGGCCUCCCAAAGUGCCGGGAUUACAGGCAUGAGCCACCAUGACCAGCCCAGUUUGAUGCCUUUCUUAAACCUCAGUAUUUGUGACUCUGAAUCUGCACAUUUUAUCCAACCCAGAAAUGAUGGGCUCCACAUAAAACUUCCUUCUCCAAGAAACCUCCUCCUGGACGUUUGAUCUCUUGAGCACUUGCAGUUAGUGCCACAUUAUAGUUGAAGAGUUGCCAGCAGGAAGAAGAGGUAUGGACUACUUACUAUAAUAAUCUUUCAUUCAAUCACCCAAGUUUUUUUUUCUACUCUGUAAAGUGUUAGAUGCUUCUGAGUGAAAUAGGUCUAAUACUUCCUUACAGCAGUUAGAGGGGCCAAGUGUGAAAAAAUGAUUACAACAACGGUCUGAAGGGCUGUAAUAGUGGCAUUUUGCAAGUAACGUAGGAGCACAGAGGAGAUAACAACAAAGUUUCCUGGGGGUGUUCAGGAAGACUUCACAGAAAAGUAAUGUUCAAGUGUGGUUCUCAACAAAGAGUAGGAGUUUUCUGAGAGAGGAAAAAAAUGGUGAUAAGGGCAUUCCAGAAGGGGGCUAGAAUAGAGUCUUAAACAGUUACGAUGUAUUUGGAAGGAGUGAGAUUUUCAGUAUGACUAGUCUAGAAGGAAAUUGUGUUGAGGAAUAAAGCUGAGUUUGGGGUUUGUAUUAGUCUGUUUUUACGUUACUGUAAAGGAAUACCUGAGACUGGAUAAUUUAUGAAGAAGAGAGGUUUAAUUGGCUCGUGGUUCUGCAGGCAGUACAAACAUGGCACCAACAUUUGCUCAGCUUCUGGUGAGGACAUCAGGGAGCUUUCAAUCAUGGUGGAAGGUAAAGGGGAGCCAACAUGUUACAGAGCAGGACCAAGAAACGGGGAGGUACCACACCCUUUUACACAACCUCUUUUAAACAACUAGCACAAGAAGAACUCACUUAUCACCAAGGAAAUGGUGCUAAACCAUCCAUGAAGAGUCUGUCACCAUGACCCAUUCACCUCCCAGCAGACCCCACCCUCCAACACUGGGAAUCACAUUUCAGUAUAAGAUUUGGAGGGGAAAUGACUAAAACACAAAAAGAAAUGGCAACAAAAGUCAAAACAGACAAAUGGAAUUUAAUUAAACUUAAGAACUUCUGUACAGCAAAAGAAACAGUCAUUAGAGUGAAUCAGCAACCAACAGAAUGGGAAAAAAAUUUUUGCAUUCUACCCAUCUGACAAAGGGCUAAUAUCUAGAAUCUACAAAGAAAUAAAGCAGAUUUACAAGGAAAAAAACCCCCAUGAAAAAGUGGAUGAAUGUUAUGAACAGACACUUUUCAAAAGAAGAGAUAUAUGAAGCCAACAAAAGUGAAAAAAUGCUCAUUAUCUCUGGUCAUUAGAGAAAUGCAAAUCAAAACCACAUUGAGAUACCAUCUCACAACAGUUAGAAUGGUGAUCAUUAAAAAAUCUGGAGACAACAGAUGCUGGAGAGGAUGUGGAGAAAUAGGAACACUUUUACACUGUUGGUAGGAGUGUAAAUUAGUUCAACUAUUGUGGAAUAUAGUGUGGCAAUUCCUCAAGGUCCUAGAAAUAGAAAUGCCAUGUGACCAGCAAUCCUAUUUCUGGGUAUAUAUCCAAAGGAUUAUAAAUUGUUCUGUUAUAAAGACGCAUGUACAUGUAUGUUCAUUGUGGUGCUGUUUACAAUAGCAAAGACCUGGAACCAACCCAAAUGCCCAUCAAUGAUAGACUGGACAGAGAAAACGUGGCACAUGUACACCAUGGAAUACUAUGCAGCCAUAAAAAACAACAAGUUUGUGUCCUUUGUAGAGACAUGGAUGAAUCUGGAAACCAUCAUUCUCAGCAAACUGACACAAGAACAGAAAAUCAAACACCGCCUGUUCUCACUUAUAGGCGGAUGUUGAACAAUGAGAACACGUGGACAGAGAGAGGGGAACAUCACACACUGGGGUCUG